AUGACAUCACGUGGUGAUCGUCAUCAAGGUUGUGGUGUGCAAGUUCAAGUGGAGCAACACGAAGAUCGGCUCACCCAUAAUGGAGUAUGGGGAGCAAUCAUGCUUGAAGCUUGCCGUCCAUUGUGUUGA
RNAcentral lists this ribosomal RNA (129 nucleotides) under Triticum aestivum (bread wheat). RNAcentral's name for it is "partial small subunit ribosomal RNA". The record is from RNAcentral. Lineage: Eukaryota; Viridiplantae; Streptophyta; Magnoliopsida; Poales; Poaceae.